Eurytemora carolleeae is the source of this 231-nucleotide long non-coding RNA. RefSeq lists it as uncharacterized. NCBI's taxonomy places the organism in Eukaryota, Metazoa, Arthropoda, Copepoda, Calanoida, Temoridae. The record is from RefSeq and is a predicted model, not a curated record. The transcript is spliced from 3 exons.
AAGUGCGCAAGUCACUUUUGCGGAACAACUACAAACCAAAAUGAGCAGUUUUCAAAACAAAAGCAUGGAGUUCUAAUACAAACUUGUUCACAUAAAGGUUUUCAAGAGGAAUCUGUGAGUGUAAAAGUGCAGUGGAAGCUACUCUGUUAAAUACAGCCGCUAAUCUAGCGUGUACUGCAAUCUGUGGAAGGAUUAUAUUUUCGGAACCUCUAGACCUAAACUGGGCCCUAG